Molecule: long non-coding RNA, 3652 nt
Filed under: Nicotiana benthamiana
Lineage: Eukaryota; Viridiplantae; Streptophyta; Magnoliopsida; Solanales; Solanaceae
Description: long non-coding RNA (NBEN_LNC004367)
Source: RNAcentral
CGAUGUAUCUAAUCCAACGGUUGGAUUUCUUUCUAAAAUUAAAAUCAAUUUUGACUAAUGUUCCAUCUUUUUCCCUCUUUCAAAGAAAAGAAGUGUUUCUUUUCUCUGCCAUGGCAGAAGAGUUUUGGCUCCUUCUUUCUUCUUAGCAAAUUUGACUCUCAUAAUCUUGUAAUCAGAAAUUUGUGUGGCCAUUCUAAGGAAUCAUCUGCAACCUCAAGCACUUUGACUCAAGAACUCAAAUUCGUUUGCUGUUUACAAUGAAGAUGAAAAAGGUAAAAUUGUUCUCUCUUUUUCUUUCCUCCAAUAUUUCACAAUUUCGGCAAUCGAAUCUCUGCUCCCUCUGCCCAUAUCGUCCUUUUUCUUUCUUCAACACGCGAUUUCAAAUUGUUCUUGAGCUGUUUGAAACCAUAACCCUUCAAGAUCUCUCCCAAAUUAACCCUAGAAAAACCGUAGUUCUUCUAUAAAUAUCAAGGUUUGGUAAUAAUUGAGGACUACUCUUGGAGCCAUCUUCAAAGAGUUUUAAUGUUCAAAAUACUCUAAAAAGGUCUUGGUUGUGUAGCCUCAGUUACUCUCCUCUAAAAAUAGAGGUGUUGUUUUUCUUUGCAUCUUUCGGAGCUUGUAAAGUCCGUAGUCUCGAGUUCAAGUUCGAAACCAGAAUCCAGUAGAUCUGCUCGACGCGUCUAAGUUUGUUGCAUCGCAAAAGGUCAGUGCUGAAAAUUUUCUUCUCGGUUUGUCUUUGAAAAUUAAAAAUGGUUUGUAUGUUCUUUAUAAGAGUUUUAAACCAGCUUCUGUAGGAGUCAUAUAGUUAUAGGUAUUCUGGGUAAGUUAAUGAAUAGGCAAUAAAUCCAAAUAAUAAAAAUUAUACGUAAAGAAAUUAGUAGAUAAUGAAAUUUUAUCUUUAAUCCUCCUCUUUCCUUUGUCAAAGAACAAUGUUGCCUUUUUGUUUACUAUGUGUCAAAUUUUGCUCUUCAUUUCAAGAAGUAAGGUUAUGGCUGCUGCUUUUUUUUUUUGGUCUCAAAAUGUAUCCCAAGUGUUACUAUUUUAGUAUAAAUAUUAUAAAAAUAUAUUGUUAGAAAUUAACUAUUUGGGUGCUUAGUUUAAAUGAUUUCGUGUUUAGUAAUAAGUUUUUCUUAAAGUGGUUUACUUCAUAGAGUUCUUGUCCAAAAUAAUACUAAAAUUUAAGACCCUUUAUAUAGAUAUUACAUGUAGAAGCCACUGCUUAAGUCGAACAUUUGAAGAAUACUCCAUGUUUGAAAUAUUUCUUCUUUUAUGAGUUAAGAAUUAUAUUUAUAGUUAUAGAUUUACACUAUGAUGAAAGAACUUAAUAAACUAUCUUGACCUUUUUAAACCAGUGAAUAUCUAAAGUUUUUGCUAGAUAGCUUUAAGGUAGUUAAGUUUUCUUAACAUAAAUUUAUUAUAAAAUUAGCACUAAUUAAUGUUAAGACAGUGUAUUGUAGACUGAAAUUGUACUCUCAGAUAGUAAAAAAAAGACUAAAAUAUCAUGUGCAAGUGACUUAAGGUCAUGUCUCAUUAGCCUAUUAUGACAUAUUCAUUGUAGUUUUUGUCAGAUUCUGCACCGAGGAGGUCGAUUUGUGAGGAAAGCGCAAGGCGAGCUAAGAUUUUGGCCGGUUUGAGGUGAGUAAUGGUUAUGAAUGAUAUACUGAGGGUUUGAAACCCCGUAUUUGCACUAUGCGGUUCUAUGUUGAGAUAAGACACGCGUCUCGUGAUGAGCAUGGUGAUGUAUCUGUUGGGGACUCGGACUUGGUUCAUCCCAUUUGUUGACUUACUGUACUUCUUGACUGAGACUGAGACUGAGCUUGUGCUCGUAUAUUUUGGGCUAGUUGCCAUGUUUGGGGCCUUGUGACGAUCUGUAGAACUCCUAGGGAGCAUGUUGAGCUGAUUGACCUCACUUUACCUAUUGGACAGAUACCAUCUGUCCUGACUUUGACUGUACAUGAUGAAAUAAACCGGACUUUGCAACUUGCUCCGUAAAAGAGCAAUACCUAGGGUUGACUACACUGUCUUAGCUGAGUGGGCGCGAGCGGCCAAGUCUGAUACCAUCUGUCCUGACUUUGACUGUAAAUGAUGAAAUAAACCGGACUUUGCAACUUGCUCCGUAAAAGAGCAAUACCUAGGGUUGACUAUACUGUCUUAGCUGAGUGGGCCCGAGAGGCCAAAUCUAUAUUGACUAAAAGGGGUCAAGGACCCCGUAGAGAGGCUACUUGAUAUAUAUACAUAUAUAUAUCGGGUCGGGCUGCAUGCAGGAGCAGUAUAUACAUAUACAUGUAUUGGAUCGGACUGCACGCCGCAAUAUUAUAUUAUAUGGAUCGGACUGCAUGCCGCAGUAUUUUAGCGUUUGGGUUGAAGGAGCCCCUCCGGAAUCUGUACAGACCCCCAGUGAGCGCAGCCGGCUAUAUUAUUGGAUCGGGAUGCGCGCCGCAACAGUAUUAUAUAUUAUUGGAUCGGGCUGCGCGCCGCAACAGUAUUAUAUAUUAUUGGAUCGGGUUGCGCGCCGCAGCAGUAUUAUAUUAAAUUGGAUCGGGCUGCGCGCCGCAGUAGUAUAUAUAUCUAGUGUUGGAUCAUGCUGUGCACCGCAACAGUGUUAGCAUAUGGUCGGACGGAAAGGAAAGUAAUUACCAUAUUCUUCUCCCUGUUUGGUACUUAUUUACUGUUCUUGCUAUUGAAAAAAAAAAAGAACUGUUUAGUGUCUUUACCGAAUUUCUUACAUUCAGUUAUUAUUUAUUGCUAUUACUCACUGAGUUGAAACUACUCGCUCUACUCCCUGCACCUUGUAUGCAGAUUCAGGGAUCCCGGAGGCGUAGUUGUGAUUUGCUGUUGCAUUUCAGUCCCUUACUGAGUUGUCAAGGUAGCUGCUGGCGUCCGCAGGACCUGAUCUCUCCUCUAUCUAUCUUUUGUUUCCGUAUCUAGACUUUUCCUUUGUAUUGAAUGUUAUCGGUUGUAUUAGAGGCUCAGACUUGUGACGCCGGAUCCUUUGGAUUUAUUUACUUUGGAUUUCGUUUUCCGUAGUGUUAUCUACUACUUCAAUCUGAGAUUUUAUCUUAAAAAUGGUAUUUAAGUUAAUGAUAAGGCUGGAAAUGUUUUAAUGGUCGGGCUUGUCUUACAAGAUAUUUCGCGCCAUCACGACCGGAGUUUGGAUCGUGACACUAAAGUUCUUGUAUGUGCGCUUAAGAGAAGUCUGCGUUUAACCAAAAUGCAGAAAUUUGACAUUUAUGAACCUUCCAAAUGAUUUCCCUUUGCUUACUGUUACUCUUACUGUUACUAUCUAGUGUGCCGUUAGAAUACUUUAGUAUUUGGUCCUAAUACUUGAAAUAAAGCAAGAAAGCAAGUGUUUAUGACUCCAUGUGUGUUAUUUGUCUUAGAAAAGUCUACUGCUACUCUGUUAUUUUUUUUAUAUAGUAAAAAAAAGGGGCAUUCUACAAGGACUUCAAUAUCUAAUAUUAAGAUUUAAGAUGGAAGUAGAAGCUAUUUUGUUUUUGGAUAGAUUAAGCUGUUUCAUCUAUAGAUGUCAAAUGUGCUGAAAGACGUUCUCAAGUCGCUAAAGCUAAACGUGUGUUCAUCUUUGUAGAUUUUGAUAAAUGACAAACCGACGCGCAUGGAAUAUUGACAUAUGCCGAAGUCCAAGCACAAGANN